UCCAUAACAGAAAUGCUUCCGAGUCAGAA
This 29-nucleotide non-coding RNA is filed under the name Rattus norvegicus (Norway rat). The record is from RNAcentral. Lineage: Eukaryota; Metazoa; Chordata; Mammalia; Rodentia; Muridae.